RNAcentral lists this ribosomal RNA (538 nucleotides) under uncultured bacterium. RNAcentral's name for it is "bacterial SSU rRNA". It matches the Rfam family "Bacterial small subunit ribosomal RNA", at positions 356 to 896 of the family's 1533-position model. The record is from RNAcentral.
GAGGAAUAUUGGACAAUGGGCGCAAGCCUGAUCCAGCCAUGCCGCGUGCAGGAAGACGGUCCUAUGGAUUGUAAACUGCUUUUGUACAGGAAGAAACACUCCCUCGUGAGGGAGCUUGACGGUACUGUAAGAAUAAGGAUCGGCUAACUCCGUGCCAGCAGCCGCGGUAAUACGGAGGAUCCAAGCGUUAUCCGGAAUCAUUGGGUUUAAAGGGUCCGUAGGCGGUUUAAUAAGUCAGUGGUGAAAGCCCAUCGCUCAACGAUGGAACGGCCAUUGAUACUGUUAGACUUGAAUUAUUAGGAAGUAACUAGAAUAUGUAGUGUAGCGGUGAAAUGCUUAGAUAUUACAUGGAAUACCAAUUGCGAAGGCAGGUUACUACUAAUGGAUUGACGCUGAUGGACGAAAGCGUGGGGAGCGAACAGGAUUAGAUACCCUGGUAGUCCACGCCGUAAACGAUGGAUACUAGCUGUUGGGCGCAAGUUCAGUGGCUAAGCGAAAGUGAUAAGUAUCCCACCUGGGGAGUACGUUCGCAAGAAUG